RNAcentral lists this ribosomal RNA (2411 nucleotides) under Staphylococcus aureus. RNAcentral's name for it is "partial 23S ribosomal RNA". It matches the Rfam family "Bacterial large subunit ribosomal RNA", at positions 444 to 2861 of the family's 2925-position model. The record is from RNAcentral. Lineage: Bacteria; Bacillati; Bacillota; Bacilli; Caryophanales; Staphylococcaceae.
CUGGGAGGACCAUCUCCUAAGGCUAAAUACUCUCUAGUGACCGAUAGUGAACCAGUACCGUGAGGGAAAGGUGAAAAGCACCCCGGAAGGGGAGUGAAAUAGAACCUGAAACCGUGUGCUUACAAGUAGUCAGAGCCCGUUAAUGGGUGAUGGCGUGCCUUUUGUAGAAUGAACCGGCGAGUUACGAUUUGAUGCAAGGUUAAGCAGUAAAUGUGGAGCCGUAGCGAAAGCGAGUCUGAAUAGGGCGUUUAGUAUUUGGUCGUAGACCCGAAACCAGGUGAUCUACCCUUGGUCAGGUUGAAGUUCAGGUAACACUGAAUGGAGGACCGAACCGACUUACGUUGAAAAGUGAGCGGAUGAACUGAGGGUAGCGGAGAAAUUCCAAUCGAACCUGGAGAUAGCUGGUUCUCUCCGAAAUAGCUUUAGGGCUAGCCUCAAGUGAUGAUUAUUGGAGGUAGAGCACUGUUUGGACGAGGGGCCCCUCUCGGGUUACCGAAUUCAGACAAACUCCGAAUGCCAAUUAAUUUAACUUGGGAGUCAGAACAUGGGUGAUAAGGUCCGUGUUCGAAAGGGAAACAGCCCAGACCACCAGCUAAGGUCCCAAAAUAUAUGUUAAGUGGAAAAGGAUGUGGCGUUGCCCAGACAACUAGGAUGUUGGCUUAGAAGCAGCCAUCAUUUAAAGAGUGCGUAAUAGCUCACUAGUCGAGUGACACUGCGCCGAAAAUGUACCGGGGCUAAACAUAUUACCGAAGCUGUGGAUUGUCCUUUGGACAAUGGUAGGAGAGCGUUCUAAGGGCGUUGAAGCAUGAUCGUAAGGACAUGUGGAGCGCUUAGAAGUGAGAAUGCCGGUGUGAGUAGCGAAAGACGGGUGAGAAUCCCGUCCACCGAUUGACUAAGGUUUCCAGAGGAAGGCUCGUCCGCUCUGGGUUAGUCGGGUCCUAAGCUGAGGCCGACAGGCGUAGGCGAUGGAUAACAGGUUGAUAUUCCUGUACCACCUAUAAUCGUUUUAAUCGAUGGGGGGACGCAGUAGGAUAGGCGAAGCGUGCGAUUGGAUUGCACGUCUAAGCAGUAAGGCUGAGUAUUAGGCAAAUCCGGUACUCGUUAAGGCUGAGCUGUGAUGGGGAGAAGACAUUGUGUCUUCGAGUCGUUGAUUUCACACUGCCGAGAAAAGCCUCUAGAUAGAAAAUAGGUGCCCGUACCGCAAACCGACACAGGUAGUCAAGAUGAGAAUUCUAAGGUGAGCGAGCGAACUCUCGUUAAGGAACUCGGCAAAAUGACCCCGUAACUUCGGGAGAAGGGGUGCUCUUUAGGGUUAACGCCCAGAAGAGCCGCAGUGAAUAGGCCCAAGCGACUGUUUAUCAAAAACACAGGUCUCUGCUAAACCGUAAGGUGAUGUAUAGGGGCUGACGCCUGCCCGGUGCUGGAAGGUUAAGAGGAGUGGUUAGCUUCUGCGAAGCUACGAAUCGAAGCCCCAGUAAACGGCGGCCGUAACUAUAACGGUCCUAAGGUAGCGAAAUUCCUUGUCGGGUAAGUUCCGACCCGCACGAAAGGCGUAACGAUUUGGGCACUGUCUCAACGAGAGACUCGGUGAAAUCAUAGUACCUGUGAAGAUGCAGGUUACCCGCGACAGGACGGAAAGACCCCGUGGAGCUUUACUGUAGCCUGAUAUUGAAAUUCGGCACAGCUUGUACAGGAUAGGUAGGAGCCUUUGAAACGUGAGCGCUAGCUUACGUGGAGGCGCUGGUGGGAUACUACCCUAGCUGUGUUGGCUUUCUAACCCGCACCACUUAUCGUGGUGGGAGACAGUGUCAGGCGGGCAGUUUGACUGGGGCGGUCGCCUCCUAAAAGGUAACGGAGGCGCUCAAAGGUUCCCUCAGAAUGGUUGGAAAUCAUUCAUAGAGUGUAAAGGCAUAAGGGAGCUUGACUGCGAGACCUACAAGUCGAGCAGGGUCGAAAGACGGACUUAGUGAUCCGGUGGUUCCGCAUGGAAGGGCCAUCGCUCAACGGAUAAAAGCUACCCCGGGGAUAACAGGCUUAUCUCCCCCAAGAGUUCACAUCGACGGGGAGGUUUGGCACCUCGAUGUCGGCUCAUCGCAUCCUGGGGCUGUAGUCGGUCCCAAGGGUUGGGCUGUUCGCCCAUUAAAGCGGUACGCGAGCUGGGUUCAGAACGUCGUGAGACAGUUCGGUCCCUAUCCGUCGUGGGCGUAGGAAAUUUGAGAGGAGCUGUCCUUAGUACGAGAGGACCGGGAUGGACAUACCUCUGGUGUACCAGUUGUCGUGCCAACGGCAUAGCUGGGUAGCUAUGUGUGGACGGGAUAAGUGCUGAAAGCAUCUAAGCAUGAAGCCCCCCUCAAGAUGAGAUUUCCCAACUUCGGUUAUAAGAUCCCUCAAAGAUGAUGAGGUUAAUAGGU